RNAcentral lists this long non-coding RNA (1729 nucleotides) under Marmota monax (woodchuck). Lineage: Eukaryota; Metazoa; Chordata; Mammalia; Rodentia; Sciuridae. The record is from RNAcentral.
GCAGCGGUGCGCGGUUCCCAGGCGGGCGGCGGGAGGGGCCGCCCGAGGCCGCGGUCCGCUCCACCCUCGCAGGGACAGGGCGGGCCCGGACCCGGCCGCGCGCACCCUCCUGCCCGAGUUGCGACGAACGCUCGGCCGGCGUUCGAGUCGUGUGCCCCGGGGCCUGAACGUCGCCGGCCGGGGCGAAAACAGUCGGGGGCCUGCGCGGCACCCGCCCGGGACGGCUGAGGGUCGCGGCGACCCGCGGUGCAGAAGCCAGCGCCGGCCCCCUUCCCGAGGCGGCGCCGCUGCCCGGGGCUGGGAGGAGCGAGGCGGAAGCACUCCGUCGCAGGCGCCAGUGGCGAGUCGCGGCGCGGGGACCUGUCGGCUGGGAAGGCGCGGCCCCGGGAGAGCAGGAGAGGCGCGGGUCUUGCGUAGCCUCAGGGAGAUAACUUUCCGUUUUCUACUUUCCCAGGAGACGCGCUUCACCUGCGAGGAAGCCUCGCCGGAACCAUGAGUGUGCACCGCCCGAUCCCGACCUGGGCACUGGAAGAUCGGCGGCCUCAGGGGAAUUUUCCGAGCGAAGCUGGAGAUGACGCCGCCCGCACGGUGCCGUGGGAGUCUUUGCCCGCAGGAAGACAAGGCGGCAGGUGCGGGUCGCCGCUGACCUGCCCCCAACCACCAAGGGCUGUCGGAGCGGGCUUCGCCGCGACCGAGCCAGGGGCUGUGCCAGCCUGGGUCGGGCGUCCAAUUCCUGCCCUCGAGGAGGCAGAAUUCUUCCCGAGAGGUGUUCUCCCUGCUCGCCGCUCAGGCACGUCCAGGACACAGCUCUGGUAAAGUUAAACAGGGCCUCCCGUGCCGUAUUUCUCUGUGAACACACCGUUCAGUCCUUUAUAUCUUAUUAGAAAAUGGGCAUGAUGUAUGGCAAUGGGUGUAAUAAAACACGUCGGGCAGCGAUCCUGUGUCAACAUAAAAUUCCUGAGUUCUCCAAGUUUGGGGGGUUCCUGUCACCUCAUAAGCAGCAUUUGAAAGACCGUCCUGUAUUCAUUCCGCUAACAUUUAAGGAGACGCUAAAAGACCUGCUGCUCGCGUCCUCGCUGGAAGGUCUUCCCAGCAGCCUGUCGCUGGCUUUCCGGGAAGGGAACGCAGCCUUGACCCUAGGGCGGAGACCGAAGGAGCUCAGCACCUGUGCAGAUACCUGCGCAGCGCUUCGCUGCCUCGGGUCUUCCUGAACGAGUGCCUUUUCUAGGAAAGCUGUAGGUUUUGCGUAAGUUUUAAAGAAAAAUAUCAGAUGCAAAGUAUGAAAUUGGGGUUUCCUAAAAGCUCGCGUGAGCUUAUCUUCAGUCUUUCACCUUCCCUAAAACCGAAAGUGGCUUCCUUCGCUGCUUAGGUCCCACUUCCCGCCCCUCAAAGGCCUCCUUCCUCUUGGAAAUUUCACCGUGGUCCUGGGCAGCCUAAAGAAACACUCUAGGGAUUACUUGUCUAGAAUUACGCCUCGGAACGUGGACUCCUUCUGAAGUAAUUUCGGUCACGGUCUUAGCUCUUUUCCUCUAGGAAAAAUAAAAGGGGUAAAGUUCAAAGGCAAACCAGCAAUCUACCCCGUCUUAAGGACUUCCGCUUGUGCGCUGACCUUGCAUGCUGCUUGUACUUAUUCACCUUUGAAUUGAGCAAAACGAGUUUUAUUUCCUUAAUAAACCACGGUGAGAUUUAAGCUACAAUAACGUGCACACUAUAAUAAACCUGAAUGGCU